Molecule: long non-coding RNA, 784 nt
Filed under: Sorghum bicolor (sorghum)
Lineage: Eukaryota; Viridiplantae; Streptophyta; Magnoliopsida; Poales; Poaceae
Description: long non-coding RNA (SBIC_LNC001193)
Source: RNAcentral
CGAGGUGAUCCAGAAGGAAGCAUUGCCGGCACCUCGGCAGAUUACUUUUGAAGCCAAUCCUGGUAAACUUCAAGACAUGAUUGACAAUGCUAUUAACCGUGCCUGUAACACCCGAAAUUUGAUUUUCAAAUAAUAGGAUUUAAUUUGAUUUAUUUGAAUAUUUUGUGAGCAUUUAAAUUAGUAAAGAAAUAAAUUUUAUUGAAAUUAAAAAUUCAACAUAGAGUUAGAAACAUGUUGGUGCAUUUCAUACUGGAGCAUAUUUAAUUCUGUAUGGUUGCCUUUUUGGUUUGAAUUUAUUUGAUUCAAAUUUCAUUUGGCAAAUGCUUUAGAAAAAAAAAGAAUAAAAGAAAAACAAAAACCAGCCAGCCCAGUCCCCUGGCCUUUUCCGGCCUGAUGGCCUGCUGGCCUGGCCCCUUUCUCCCCCACGCGAGGCCCAACCUCCACCUCCCCUCACUCGGCCCACUCCCACUCCCGGCCCAGCGCGCGCGCUCUCCCCCUCUCAGUCCCUGGCGCUUGGUCCCUGUCCCCCCUCUGUCGCUGAGCUCCGGGGCCCGCUCGUCAGCGUGCUUCCCCGUCUCCCUCGCAGAGACCGAGUCGGUCACGAGCAUGGCCCAGCGAAUCCCGAACCCCGGGAUUUCCUUGCCAAGGGGGCGAAUCGAGUCCUAUAAAGCCCUAGGAGCCUUCCCCCGCACCCCUUUUUCCCUACCCGAGCGUCAUUUCAUGCCCUAGUCGUCGCUUUCUGCAUGUUCAGAUCUCGCCGAGACCGAAACCAAGCCGCCACCGC